Molecule: long non-coding RNA, 295 nt
Filed under: Phasianus colchicus (ring-necked pheasant)
Lineage: Eukaryota; Metazoa; Chordata; Aves; Galliformes; Phasianidae
Description: lncRNA (ENSPCLG00000004131.1)
Source: RNAcentral
CACAACAUCGUCGUGGUCAUGAAAAAGAAGAGAUAACAAACUCCUUUUGGAAGUGGAGGAAGAAUUUAGGGGGAGAAAAUUCAGGAAUAACGUAAAAUGCUCCAGAAGAUCUGAGAAACAUUAAACGUGAACAUAAACAUGAUCCCAUCUCCCCUCUGAAAACGUCCCAAGAAAUAUCUACGACAUACAAGAAAGGAUGCCAUUUGUAAAGAUGUGAAAUACGUUGAUAUUCCUUUACAGAGAGAAGCUUUGUUCGCAUAAUAACAUUUUCUACUGCCUCUGAGGCUCGUAGGAG